RNAcentral lists this ribosomal RNA (797 nucleotides) under uncultured bacterium. RNAcentral describes it as "bacterial SSU rRNA". It matches the Rfam family "Bacterial small subunit ribosomal RNA", at positions 8 to 806 of the family's 1533-position model. The record is from RNAcentral.
AGAGUUUGAUCCUGGCUCAGGAUGAACGCUGGCGGCGUGCUUAACACAUGCAAGUCGAACGGGAAAUAUUUCAUUGAGACUUCGGUGAAUUUGAUCUAUUUCUAGUGGCGGACGGGUGAGUAACGCGUGGGUAACCUGCCUUAUACAGGGGGAUAACAGUCAGAAAUGGCUGCUAAUACCGCAUAAGCGCACAGAGCAGCAUGGCUCAGUGUGAAAAACUCCGGUGGUAUAAGAUGGACCCGCGUUGGAUUAGCUAGUUGGUGAGGUAAUGGCCCACCAAGGCGACGAUCCAUAGCCGACCUGAGAGGGUGACCGGCCACAUUGGGACUGAGACACGGCCCAAACUCCUACGGGAGGCAGCAGUGGGGAAUAUUGCACAAUGGGCGAAAGCCUGAUGCAGCGACGCCGCGUGAGCGAAGAGGUAUUUCGGUAUGUAAAGCUCUAUCAGCAGGGAAGAUAAUGACGGUACCUGACUAAGAAGCACCGGCUAAAUACGUGCCAGCAGCCGCGGUAAUACGUAUGGUGCAAGCGUUAUCCGGAUUUACUGGGUGUAAAGGGAGCGCAGGCGGUGCGGCAAGUCUGAUGUGAAAGCCCGGGGCUCAACCCCGGUACUGCAUUGGAAACUGUCGUACUAGAGUGUCGGAGGGGUAAGCGGAAUUCCUAGUGUAGCGGUGAAAUGCGUAGAUAUUAGGAGGAACACCAGUGGCGAAGGCGGCUUACUGGACGAUAACUGACGCUGAGGCUCGAAAGCGUGGGGAGCAAACAGGAUUAGAUACCCUGGUAGUCCACGCCGUAAA